This is a long non-coding RNA of Thunnus maccoyii (southern bluefin tuna), 2068 nucleotides long. RefSeq lists it as uncharacterized. The transcript is spliced from 3 exons. NCBI's taxonomy places the organism in Eukaryota, Metazoa, Chordata, Actinopteri, Scombriformes, Scombridae. The record is from RefSeq and is a predicted model, not a curated record.
AACAGGUGAUGUAACGGUGGCUAUGUCCAUUACUUUUUUACAGUGUAUGACCUAUGCAAGGAGGAAAAAAGUCAGGCUAUCUCAGCCUCUACAACUUCAGUUUUACCUUUUUUUCAUCUUGCACUUCUGUAAAGUUCCCCAGACUUUAACUUGAGUCGACUUGAGACAAGAAUGGAUCUUGUUAACCUUGAUGGCGUGGGGAUCCAUCUGUGUCAGGUUAACCCGCUGGGAGCCUCUCCCAGCAGGUAGUCCUGAAGGGCCUAAAUCAUCUGGACGGCCAGAAGCGUGAAAUCCUUCCAGGCCUGGACAGAUGUCUCUCUGUUCAGCACCGACUCAGCGUUCAGCGACCUCACAGACCUUUAAAGACCCUUGGAGCAGACUUUGGCUCCCAAAACGCAGAUCAGACCGCGGCCAGACCAGGCUGUAUUAUUACACACCCCAAAAAAACCCACCCAGAAUCUAGACUGAGGAAAAAUUGACAAAAUAUUCAUAUUUGAAUCAUGCAGAGGAGGCUGGACUUUGACACCAAAAGAUGAUUUUACUUUGACUAUGAAUUGAAAAAACACAACAACAAAUAAAUGAACUUAGUACCAUGGGUGCCAAAUGCUCUCAUGAACUGACAAGAUGCCAAGGCCAGGUCAGCCAGAGGCUAAACUGGUCUAUAUUUGUGGGUGUGACACAGCCGAAAGGCAGCGAGAGAGUGAGAGACAGAGUACUGACCUCUGUGACCUGAAGACCAUCUGCACACACCUUGAUCUUUCACACAUCAGGAGAUGAAGCUUAAGCAACAUUAAAACGCUCUGAAUGGUUUCCUGUCAGCUUCCUGUCCGUUGGAGGCCUCCUGUACCAGCUGAUUGAGGUGGUGUUAUGUUUUUGGCCGAGGUGGCUGAGCCACGGGCCUAAUGGGUUCCAGCUGGGCCUGUGUGUCUGCAUUAAGUCCUCAAGUGGAAAAGUGGCUGCAAAGUCAAACCACCUGGUGAAGCCGAGCUGCCGGGGAGGUGUGAGGUGGCGGUGGACGAGGAAAACCCUGGAAAACCUUGCCCAAGAUUAUGGAGGAGGUCUUUAUGUUUUCUGAUUUGAUUUGAAGCCACUUUAUAAUAUGUUUUUCAGUUGCAAGAACAUGGUAAGCCUAAAAAAAGACAUUGACAUCAGUGCAGCUAAGUUGGCUGCUGGUGGUUAUUUUGGCACUAUGUGACCUGUCAGCCAAAAGAACAUUUGCCAAUUCACGUGAACGGUUUAAGCUUACAAGUUAUUUAACAGGCUUAAUCCGCUACAUUUUUCAAUGCUCUACUAUUUGACCUUGGCCCAUUUCAACACAAAGCCUGACAAGAAGCAACAGGAUCCGCUGCCGCUAACGACAGCUGUAAUUUCAUUGGCUUGAUAUUACAGCGUUGUCACAAGUGUAGCUACAGACAAGAGCGAAUAAUUCUUUUACAAGCAGCAUGACAGGAGAAAUGGCAACCAACUCUAGGAUUUCACGUUUGUCCGGGGAGACGUCUCAGCAGCAAAUACGUUUUGGCACAGGCAUGCAGUGGUUGUCACAUUAACAUUCUCCAUUUUUAAGCCUGCAUUUAAACAAGAAAGUCAGCUUAGAAGAUAUUAAUUUUCAGAACAACAGCCUUGAGGAAAUACCUGUACUGCACACUCAGGGAUUUAGGACUUCCUCUGGGUCUUUGCCUUGCUCAAGGGCUUUGUGUUGGUGCCCUUUUUAAUAGGGAGGGACUAACAUGCCUCAUUCAAUACGUGUGUCCUGAAUUCCCAAGCACAGAUUCAAACUGGCAACCCUCCAGUCCAUUAUGUUACUGCUGCCAAACAGUAAUUUGGAAAUUUGCAAGUUUUUCAUGUGCUGGGUUCAUGGGGCCUUUUCAAAAGUAAUUCCAUAUGAUGUUAUCACAUUCUUGGUAAAGUAAAGCUAUUUUUAAAUCCUUUUGGAGAGGCACUGUUUUUAGUUAUCUGAUAUGAACAUACAAAGCUCUCCUAAUGCCCUUAAUACUGUAUGUUACAACUGAAGAAGAUAUAGUUCGACAUUUUUGGAAACACACAUGCUCACUUUCUUGCUGAGAGUUAG